This 9835-nucleotide long non-coding RNA is filed under the name Homo sapiens (human). RNAcentral's name for it is "HSALNT0218130". Lineage: Eukaryota; Metazoa; Chordata; Mammalia; Primates; Hominidae. The record is from RNAcentral.
AUUAACAUAUGUGUUAUAUAUAUAUCAUCAUGAUAGAUAAAUAUAUAUAUUUAUUUGCUAAUUAUGAGGAAUUGGCUCAUGUGACUAUGCAGGUGGAAGAGUUUCAGGAUCUGCAGUCUGCAAGCUGGAGCCCUAUGGGAAAGUAGAUGGUGCAAUUCAGUCUAAGUCCAAAGGCCUGAGAACCGGGGGGAGUCAGUGGUGUAAACCCGUGGGAGGGCAGGAGAAGUCAGAAUGAUAUGUCUCAGCUCAAGCAGUAAGGCAAGAAAAAUGGGACAAAUUCUUUCCUCUGCCUUUUAUUCUUUUGGACCCUCAGUGGAUUAGAUAAUGCACCCCCACCUUGAGGAGGGCAAUCUACUUCACUGACUCUACCAAUCCAAAUGCUAAUCUCACCCAGAAACACCCUCACAGACACGCCCACGACAAUGUUCCAUCUGGGUACCCAUGGCCCAUUUAAGUUGACACAUAUAAUGAAACAUCACACCCAACCUCCGGUAGUUUAUGCACAUGCAUGCCUUGAUCAGUACUGCUGAACACUCAACAAGGACUCUAUGCUGAUCUCUGGAGUUUUCUCCCUGUGCAGCUCUGUUCUGUGCACGCUAUCUGCCUUGUUGUCCUGGAAUCUCAGCUGUCUCUUCAACUCAGGGACUCUUUAGGGUUCUGCCUGAGUUCCACUUUUCUAUGCCAUAGCGUGGAGACAAUGUCAAGGCAACUGUGGAGUUCACCGUUUUCUCUCUCUCAGGAAUCACUGUCUUUUGUUGCCUAAUGUCUGGGGACUUAAAAACUGUUAUUUUGUAUAUUUUUUCUGUUUUUUUUUCUUGGCUGUCUCAGGCAUGAGAGUAAAUGUAUUUCCUGUUAUUCCAUUUUAUCUGGAAGGUGAAGUUAGCGUUUCUUUUUUGCAGAGAUUACUACCUCCCUGGCCCAUUGCGAGGCCUCCUUUGCAAUUAUGAUCCAUCACACUUGUGACCACAGUAUCUCCUUUUUUGUUUGUUGGUUCAGUGGGAUGAACAGCCUCAAAUUUAGGUCCCAAAUUCAAAAUAUUGAUCAAUUUCAAAUCCGUAUAAAUCAAAUUAUUUUAAAGUGCUAACUGUGCUGCAUAUCUUUUCAAGCCCGAAGACAAAGAAAAUGACUCACUGAGGAGCAGUAGAAGCAAUGACGAGGAUGAUGUCACACAUUUGCUUGGUGUCUACUCAGCACUUGUGCUUGACAUCUAUGAUCUCAUUUGGUUCUGAAUCCCCCAGAGUGGUGGGCACUAUUACCAUCUCCAUCUGAUGUAUGAGGAAACUGGGGACACCGUGUAUGGAAGGAUGACCGAAGAUUGGUUAAGACUAAACUCUCAGCUUUGCCGAAAGUAAGACAGCCCAUCAGGAAGGUGAAGAGCCUUGGACAACUGUGCCUCCAUCAGGGCCUUGGUGGAGUGAUUAAUCACCUUACGAAGGAAGACCUUGCCUAACACCAAUUUUCAGAUGAUAUCCCAACAUUCAUGAGAGGUGGAGGGGAGUGUUCCUCCAACUUGACCCAGCAAUCAUCCCAGAGCCCCUGAUGUCAUCACAGCAGCCUGGGCUUGCUCACCCGUGUUGUUGUGAGCCUCAGCGAUGAUGGUGCUGGGUCUGCAGAGUUCUGGCUGCAGGAUGGAGUUGGAAUAUUGUACUCAGUGGAACUGAGCUGGGGCUGAACAAAGGCAAAUCUUCUGCCCUGGGGAUUAGGCAUUCAUCUGUGCCAACUCUCUUAAAUAUUUACAGAUGUGGAUUCGUGACAAUAAAAUUUGUGUAGGUUAUAUUUAGAGAGAAAACGAAGAAACAUCUGAGGAACCCCUGCUGUGUGCCAUGUCCUGUGCUGGAUGCUUUCUCAAGGUACUUCAUCUCAUCUUCACAAGCUUCCUGGGGGCUAUUUUGGAUGCUCCAUUUUAUAGAUGAGGAAACUGAGGCCGAAAGAGAUUAUAUGACUUACCCAAGGCCAUGCAGGUCAAAGUUCUAAAUGAUACAGCCAGGACUCAGCCCUAGGUCUUCUACUCUAAGUCAGGUUUGCUGUGAGUCGUGAAGUGGGUUAAAAUGCAUGUGACAGAAUACCAACAAAAUAGGGUUGGUCAGGAGAUAGGCAGCCUACACUCUAGAAAGUCAGCAGGAACCAAGGUACCUUCUGACUGUCUCCUCUCCCAUCCUAAUCCUCAUCCUCAUCCUCACACACACAAGCUAGAGGCCACAUCUUGUCCAUAUUCCAAACAGAAAGAAAGGGAAGGGGAAAGUCCAAAAAUGGAUGUUCCAGCAAAGUCUGCCCCAGUAUGAGAUUUCUGCUAUUGCCAUAAUAGCUUACCAAAAAUGUAGUCACUUUGAACAAUGCAAAGUUAUUAUUUGAGAGUUCUUAAUGUCAGAAGUCUGACACCGAUCUCAUUGAGCUAAAUCAAUAGAACAAAGGGGCUGCCUUUCUUUCUAGAGGUCCUGGGGGAACAUCUGUUUCUUUGCCAUUUCUAGCUUCUAGAGCCACCUGCAUUCCUUGGCUCAUGGCUCCCAUCUCUCAUCAUCAUAGCCAGCAGUAGGGUGAGUCCUCACACUACAUUUUUCUGAGUGCUUCCAUCAUCACAUCUCUCUCUUUGAACAGAGCCAGAAAAGGUUCUCCACUUUUAAGAACACAUGUAACUAGUUGGGGCCACCUGCAUAAUUCAAGAAAACCUCCCUAUAUCAAGGUCUUUACCCUUAAUCACAUUUGCAAAGUCAUUUUUACCAUAUGAAGUAAUACAUUCUCAGGUUCUAGGCAUUAGGAUGUGGGUUGGGUGGCUGUUAUUCCAAUGGCCACAGCCCUCUUCUAAUAAAGUUUCCCUACAAGCUUCAUGUAAAAUGUCUUGGCCAUAAUAGAGUCGCCAAGUUAUUCCUGCAAGGGAAGCUGGGAAAAGUAAAUUGUUUACUUAACUGGGCACAUUGGCUUCACCAGCAGGGAAGACUGAAUAUUAGGUAAUCUACUUGCUAUUUCUCCUACACAGGCCUAGAGUUACACAAAACGUACUUGGGAGUUAACUUUCUUUUCUAACUCUCUGAAAAGGUUUGUCCUUGGCAACACAUCUCCUUCCCUUUCUUUGGCCCCCAAGUGAUACCUCAUGAUAGAUGUAUCCAUAUACUCACCUAUAAGUGUAUCUAUCUAUCUAUCCCUCUAUCUCUAUAUUUGCAUUAAGUAGACACAGAGAAAAUAUUUGUUGAAUAAAUGGAGAUUUGAUCUCCUAUAUCUCAUGUAUUUAGCCUGAAAAAAAUGCUAAGAUUCUCUUAAUUUCAUAGAACUGUGAUAUAGAUCUGUGAUACAGCAGAAGUAACCCUGCAGUCUAAAGAGAAGAUCUGAAUUCAGUUCUACCUUUGCUGUAUGCUAGCUUGGAUGACAAAAGGCAAAAUGUUUCACUGUCCUUAACUAUGACAUAUAAACAAUGUCUAUCCCAGAAGACAGUUUUAAAAUUAAAUAUACUAAAUGGUACAGAAAAUAUUUCUGAUUCCAGUAAUAUUUUGCUCUGUACAACUUAAAAAUUCUUACAAAGCUCUGUAAAUACUGUAUAAAAUAGAACAGACAUGUUUUAAAUGCAUAGGUGAGCUUUCAACAAGGAAGAAGAAAUCCUUGUGUGAUAGAAUCAAUAAGGCAGCUUAAAAACCAAAAAGGAAGCAUAGAAUGCUGUAGAUAGGUUUCACAUUUUUUCUUCUAAUGUUGAGACCACAUUUUUCUGGGAGUAGACCACUUAUAAGGAUUUAGGUGGGUUUCCCGCAGCAGAGAGCUCAUGUUCUGGGUCUGCUUGGCCAGCCAGAAUGCCCCACCCCAGCUGUCAAGCAUGGGGGAUUACAGAAAAUUCUAGGCCCCACAGGAGGCAGGUUUGAGUACUAGAACUGAGAAUUCUGUAUGAAUGGUAGACCAAAAAAGAACUGUACCUCUAGAAAAGAGUGGCUUAGUAAAGAAAUAUAGUCAUUAACUUAGAAAAUCAACCAGAAAACUUACCUAUCUCUGCUUGGACUCUGGGUAAGAGAAAAAGUUCAACACACAUAUUCAAAGCCAGAACUUGCAUUGCAUGGAUUUGUGGAGAUCAAAUUUGCAAUAACUGUGUCUUUCCAAAGCUCAUAAUCUAAAAAAACUAAUAUAAAAAUAGAUUCCAUGCCAGUUAUAGCCAAAAUCUCUAAGCAGGAGAAAAUCAUAGAACAGUUAUGUAGUAGAUCUUACAGGAGAAAAAUUUACAUGUCAAAGUUAUACCACAUUUAAGGAAAUAAUCCACAGUGAAUGAAAGACAGCAGAAACAAUAUAUAGCAUUAGAGUUCCCUAGGAAUAUUAGAACUGACAAAGACUGUAAAACUCAAUUAGUAUUUAAAAAGCAGAUUUGACACAAUUGAAGAGAGAAAUAAUAAACUGGAGGAUAGGGAACAGGAAAUUACUCAAAUGCAGUAUAAGAAGAUAAAGAAGUGAACAAAAGAUUAAGAAGCACCAAGGACAGAAUGAAUAAAUCUAACAUGUCUACUUGAAGAAAAGGGGAAUAGCAAAAAUGAAAGAGAAACAAUAUUCAAAGGGAUAAUUGUAAAAAUAAUGGAAAAUAUGAAUUUUUAGAUUCAAUAUUCAUAACAGAUCUUGGGACAAAUAAUUUAAAAUAUAUUCAUAUCUGGACAUGUAAUUGGGUCAAAAUUUGUAUAUUAUUUACUGUAUUUACUUUUAUUUAAUGUAAUUCUCAAGCAUUUUCUCAUAUGAUAAAAACAGUUGUCCCACAAUUUUAGUGUCUGUUCAAUAUUCUAAUGUCUCAUGAUUUAUUUACUCACUCACUGAUAUAUAAAUAUUUAUGGAUUUAUCCCUCAAACUAAUAUUUGUAGAGGUAACAUGAUGUUGCUCAUCACUGCAUAGAAAUCUUCAUACAUUCAAAAUUUACUUAGAAUUCUAAAAGCAGAACUAUUAAAUGAUAUAACCUUUUUACGGCUCUUAAAUUUUUUUUCAAACUUCUGGAUUAAUCUGACAAACACUACCUCAGGUGAUAUACAUCGAUAUCAACAGUGAUAAGUCAUUUUGACAGUAUGUGAUGAAUUGAUAUGAUAUGGUGUGAUGAGAAUGACCUGUUACCUACGUGGUUUUCCUCCCAAAUUCAUGUAACUACAAUAUAAUCAUUUCAGUUGAAGCACAUUAUUUAUACUAAAUACCUGACUUGUACUCCUCAAAAUGAUCAAAGUCAUCAAAACUAAGAGAGACGCAGUCUCAUUCUGUCACCCAGGCUGGAGUGCAGUGUGUCAUCUCUGCUUACUGCAACCUCUACCUCCUGGUUUCAAGCAAUUCUCCUGCCUCAGCCUCCCAAGAAGCUGGGAUUACAGGCACCUGCCACCACACCCUGCUAAUUUUAAAACUAAGAAAAUUCUGAUUAACAAUCACAGCCAAGAGAAGCCUAAGAAAACAUGACAGCUGCACAUAAUGUGCUAUCCUGAAUGGGAUCUUGGAAUAUAAAAAGAACAUUAUGUGAAAAUUAAGGAUAUCUGAACAAAGUAUGGGAUAGCUACUAUAAAGACACAUGCACACGUAUGUUUAUUGCAGCACCAUUUACAAUAGCAAAGACUUGGAACCAACCCAAAUGCCCAUCAGUGAUAGACUGGAUAAAGAAAAUGUGGUACAUAUACACCAUGGAAUACUAUGCAGCCAUAAAAAAGAAUGAGUUCAUGUCCUUUGCAGGGACAUGGAUGAAGCUGGAAACCAUCAUUCUCAACAAACUAACACAGGAACAGAAAACCAAACACUGCAUGUUCUCACUUAUAAGUGGGAAUUGAACAAUGAGAACACAUUAACACAGGUAGGGGAACAUCACACACCGGGGCCUGUUGAUGGGUGGGGAGCAAGGGGAGGGAUAGCGUUAGGACAAAUACCUAAUGUAGAUAACGGGUUGAUAGGUGCAACAAACCACCAUGGCACAUGUAUACCUAUGUAACAAACCUGCACGUUCUGCACAUGUAUCCAAGAACUUAAAGUAUAAUUUAAAAGAAUAAUAAUGUAUAGCUCAGUGUAAAGCCAUCUGGGCCUGGGCUUUCUUUGUGGGAAGAUUUUUAAUUACUAAUUUAAUAUUUUCCCUUGUUAUAGGUCUAUUAAGAUUGUCAACUUCUUCUUGAGUCAGUUUUUGCAGUUUGUGUCUUUCAGGAAAUUUGUUUAUUUCACUAAUGUUAUCUAAUUUGUUGGCAUACAAUUUUUUCAUGAUAUUCUUUUGUAAUUCAUUUUUAUUUCUAUAAGGUCAGUAGUAAUGUCCUCUUUUUUGUUUCUGAUUCUAUCAAUUUAAGUCUUCUCUUUUUAAAAAUUCUGAUCAAUCUAGCUAAAGUUUUGUCAAUUUUGUUGAUACUUUGAAAGAAUUAGGGUUUGGUUUCAUUUAUUUUCUCUAUUGUUUUUCUUUUCUGUAUUUUAUUAAUUUCCACUCUAAUUCUUAUUAUUUCCUCCUGAUAUGGUUUGGAUAGUUGUCCCCUGCAAAUCACGUGUUGAAAUGUGAUUGACAUUUCACAUGUGAAAUGACCCCCAGUGUUGGAGGUGGGACCUAGUGGGAGGUGUUUGGGCCAUGGGGUCAGAUCCCUCAUAAAUGGCUUGAUGCCCUCCCUGUGGUAAUGAGUUACCAGGAGAUCUGAUUGUUAAAAAGAGUCUGGGACCUCCCUCCUCUCUCUUGCUCUCUCUCAUCAUGGGAUGUGCCUACUUCCUCUUUGCUUCCUCCAUGAUUAUAAGCUUCCUGAGGCGCUCACCAGAAGCCAUGCUGGUGUCCUACUUCACAGCCUGCAGAACUGUGAGUCAAGUAAUUUUCUUAAAAAAUUACCCAUCCUCAGGUAUUCUGUAGAGCAAUGCAAAAUGGAUUAACACAACUGCCUUAUGCUUGCUUUAGGUUUAGCUUGCUCCUCUUUUUUCAGUGUCUUAAAAUGUAAGUUUAGGUUACUGAUUUGAUAACUUUUUUCUUAAUAUAGACAUUUGCAGCUCUAAGUUUCCCUGUGUUAUAUGAUACUGCUUUUACUGUGUCAUAUAACUUUUGAUAUGCUUUGCCUUCUUUUUCAUUCAUAUCAAAGUGUUUCCUAAUUUUUCUUUUUAUUUACUUUUUGACCCAUUGACUAUUAUAAUAGCGGUACUCCCCAAACUGAUCUACAGAUUCAAUUCAUUCCCAAUCAAAAUCCCAACAGCCUAUUUUGCAGAAAUAAUAAGCUAAUUCUUAAAUUCAUAUGGAACUGCAAGGAACCAGAACAGUCAAAACAAUCUUGAAAAAGGAGAAUAAAGUAGGAGAAGUCACACUUCCUGAUUUCCAAACUUACUACAAAUCAAGAGUAACUAAGACAAUGUGAUACUGGCACAACGAUAUACAUAUUUAUCAAUGCAAUGGAAUUGAGAGUAGAAAUAAACUCAGAUAUCUAUGGUCAACUAACUUUCAACAAAGGUCUUAAGACUAUCCCACGGGGGAGGAAUAGUCUUUUCAACAAAUGUUGUUGGGACAACUGAAUAUUCACAUGCAAAAUACAAUUUUUAAGAAUCUAUGAUUAAAGGUGGAAAAAAAUAUUGGGCUAGAGGUCAUAAGAUUUAAAGUUUAGCCUUGGCACUGCCAGUAAAUAAGAGUGUAACUUUGGAACAAUUAUUGUACCUCUUUAGGCCUCUAUGAGGGUUUUGGAGCAAGUAACAUGGCUGCUCAGGUCCUAUCCACAUCCAACCUCUUCUUAGCCUGUGAUGACUGUAUCUCAUGAGCUGUGAUGAUGUAGUGACAGAACAGGUGGCGCACCUUGGUCCAAAGCCAAGAAUACCAUUUUCACAUAUUCAGCACUUUGCCCCACCAUCUGAUGCUACUUGGCCUCCUUUGCCUGACCCUAGAUCCUAGAGCAUUCCUCCAGGGAUAGGCAUUUGAUAUGGUUAGACUUCGCGUCCCCCCCCAAACCUCAUCUUGAAUUGUAAUCCCCAGGUAUUUAGGGAGAGACCUGGUGGGAAGUGAUUGGAUUAUGGGGGCGGUUCCCCCAUGCUGUUCUUAUGAUAGUGAGUGAAUUCUCAGGAGAUAUGAUGGUUUUAGAAAUGCUAGUCUUUCCUGUGCUGACUCAUUCUCUCUCUUGCCACCCUGUGAAGAGGCGCCUUCCGCCAUGAUUAUAAGUUUCCUGAGGCAUCCCCAGCCAUGUGGAACUGUGAGUCAAUUAAACCACUUUCUUUAUAAAUUACCCAGUCUUGGGUAUUUCUUCAUAGUAGCAUGAGAAUGGACUAAUACAGCAUUUCAAAGUGUCUCCACAGUAACUACAUUGUAGUUUAUAACUUUGAGCAAUUCCCUCAUGUAGCCCUGUUAUGUGAUAGAAGGCUUUUAUUUACUUAUUUAUUUAUUUUUCCAGGCUGUAAGGCACAGAAUGAGCCUUGUUCAAGUGACUAUAAGGUGAAAAGUUUUAUGUGAAAAUAUUGGUACAUAUGGAGAAACACAGGGUGUGUGAUCAGCAGGGGAUCUGGUCUUCAGGGGAAGUCACAUACCUAUUCAGGAGCCCAUGGAAAGUCCUCACAGAGGGUGGUAGGCCUUGAAUCAGGCCCCUGUGUCUGGCUGGUGGCUCAGGUGUCAAGCCUAGUGUUGUAUCCAGGGUUGCACAGUUCCAUAGCACAAUGUGCAGCAACUCACCAGAAAAAUGCAUCUCAGAAGGGGGCCAAGGGCUUCACUAGACCUUGGAAUCCCAUGGAAUAUCAGAAUGAUGGUGACUCAUAAGAAUAGCCAUUCUGUUUUGAGUAGUCACUUUCCAAACACUAGUUCCAACACUCCCAUCCAUGCAGGAUAUAUGUUACUCUCCCUGUUUUCCAAAUGAAGAAAGAGAGGCUCAGAGAAGUCAAGUGACUUGCUUGGUCACAGCCAGUGGGUUUCACAGUCAGGCCUCUGCCCUGAUGUGUCUGACUUCAAUCCUGGAUAUUUUGCCCUGCACAGUCUAAUCUAUUCUACUCAGACCUUGAUUAUUUUGGACCCAGCAGAUGGUGUAAUAAUGUCUUGUUCUAAGUCAUGAUGCAGUGGAGUGAGUUGUUAUGGCCUGAGUUGUGCCCCCUUCCCCACAUUCUUAUGUUGAAGUACUAACCUGCAGUGUGACAGUAUUUGGAGAUAGGGCCUUUAAAGAGGUUAAUUAAGGUUAUAUGAGGUCAUAAGGUGGGGCUCUAACACAAUAGGACUGAUGUCCUUAUAAGAAAAGGAAAAGACAACAGGGCUGCAAAUGCACAGGGAGAAGGCCGCGAGAGGACACAGCAAGGAUGCGAUCAUCACAAGCCAAGGAGAGGCCUCAGGAGAAAACAGCCCUACUGAACCCUUGAUCUUGGACUUUCAGCCUCCAGGUUGAGCACCUGGAUUUCUGUGUUGUUUGUUUGUUUUGUUGUUGUUGUUGUUGUUGUUGUUGUUGUUGAGAUAGAGUUUCGCUCUUGUCACCCAGGCUGGAGUGCAAUGGCACGAUCUUGGCUCACUGCAGCCUCCGCCUCCUGGGUUCAAGUGAUUCUCCUGCCUUAGCCUCCUGAGUACUUGGAUUACAGGCGCCCACCACCAUGCCCAGGUAAUUUUUGUAUUUUCAGUAGAGAUGGGGUUUCACCAUAAUGGCCAGGCUGGUCUCAAACUCCUGACCUCAGGUGAUCCACCCGCUUUGGCCUCCCAAAGUGCUGGGAUUACAGGUGUAAGCCACUGUGCCUGGCCUGGAUUUCUGUUUUUUAAGACCCCUACUCUAUGAUAUUUUGUUAUGGCAGCCAGUUCUCAACACUGAGAGAGAGAGUCAGGGUCAAAGAUCUCUGCAGUCCCUUCCAAAAUCUAACGUUGUGUCAGUCGAGAAUGUUUGAACUUUUCAUCUGCUUAGAUCUCUGGACUACAUAAAACUCCUAAUUCCAACGUCUUGUUUAGAACCUAGCGGUUCAC